RNAcentral lists this long non-coding RNA (1262 nucleotides) under Numida meleagris (helmeted guineafowl). RNAcentral describes it as "lncRNA (ENSNMEG00000004454.1)". Lineage: Eukaryota; Metazoa; Chordata; Aves; Galliformes; Numididae. The record is from RNAcentral.
UAAGACUUUUUCCUGGGGAAAGUGGCCAUGAAAAAAAAAAACACACUAAAAUUUCUAAAUUUGCCGCUCAAAACUCGUGUUGCUCAACAAAUAUUUCAGUUUAAGUAUAACUCUUGAACUGGGCAUCAUGCAUUCUCUAUAUGCUUAAGGCAGUACUUCUCCCUGUAGUCAUCUGCUGUUAUUUUUCUCUCUUAUUGUGCAGUCUCGCCAGACUUGAAAAUACAUGGAAAUCUGAGUGUGACUGCACUGAAGGAAUAAAUGUGGCAAGCCUGGAGACUGACAGAUUUUCAAGGGCAGAAAAAGGUUGUAGAAGGUCUUAAAUUUGAUUCCCAUACAUUCAGAUUGUUAGCUUUCUUGUGGAUGUAACCACACUCUGAAUUUCCUGGAGCAGUGCACGUUCGCUCCAUUCAUCCCCGCAGUGCUCUCCUCCAAUACUUUCUGAGUAGCUUAUUGCAUUUUGCAUUCAACCUCACUUCCAAUUCAAUAAUUUUACUCUUGUUUUGGACAGGAACUUGAAAAGAUUUUCAACCUAAUUUUAUUUCUAGCUAAAACAAAUCUCAUUUUGUGAUUAAAUGAAGCUUGUCUCACAGGCUGUAGGUCACAUCCUGCAAAAACCACCAACCAGAAAAAACAUCCGCCGCUGCCAGCGCUUCUGCAAGGCUGAAUUAAGAGAUCCUGCAAAGGUAGCUCAGCACAAUGCAGCCUGGGAAUCACCAAGACCUGCUUACAACCACGGAUCCGCAGCACGGAGCAUGCAAGUGGCUGGGGGCGGUCGGAAACCGGAGGUGGUGAGCUUAAACACACUGCUAGAAGGGAAAGAAAAAAAAGAACCAAAAUACAAGCUCAACAUGGAGAGACUGCGACAGCUGGGAAGAUGAGAACCUGAGUGUGAUAAAAGGUGGGUUCAAGAGAUCAUAGAAUCAUUAAGGUCAUAAGUCCAACUCAAACCCAUCCCUGCCAUGCCCACUACCCAUGUCCCUCAGUGCCACAUCCACACGUUUCUUGAACACCUCCAGGUGACUCCACAGUUCAAGAGGCAAAGGUGGAGCAGAACAGGAAGAGCCAGGGGCUCCAGGUGAUACGUGCUAAUAGGGCAGCCCCAUAGACAGAAAGAUAGAGAUAUAGAAACUGGCCCGGAGCGUAAAUUAGGAUGCUGCUCAUGCACAUUUUAUAAAAAAAAAAUUAAUUACUGAUUAGCGGAUAAAGCAACAGUCAGAAAUUUUGGAGGAAAUGUGUCAGUAAUGCAUUUGUGUCAACAGAUG